This 421-nucleotide ribosomal RNA is filed under the name uncultured bacterium. RNAcentral's name for it is "bacterial SSU rRNA". It matches the Rfam family "Bacterial small subunit ribosomal RNA", at positions 355 to 774 of the family's 1533-position model. The record is from RNAcentral.
UAAGGAAUAUUGGUCAAUGGACGCAAGUCUGAACCAGCCAUGCCGCGUGAAGGAUGAAGGUCCUCUGGAUUGUAAACUUCUUUUAUCUGGGACGAAAACGGGAUUUUUAUCUCAAUUGACGGUACCAGAGGAAUAAGCACCGGCUAACUCCGUGCCAGCAGCCGCGGUAAUACGGAGGGUGCGAGCGUUAUCCGGAUUUCAUGGGUUUAAAGGGUGCGUAGGUGGGCUUAUAAGUCAGUGGUGAAAUCUCCGAGCUUAACUUGGAAACUGCCGUUGAUACUAUAGGUCUUGAAUUAUCUGGAGGUAAGCGGAAUAUGUCAUGUAGCGGUGAAAUGCUUAGAUAUGACAUAGAACACCAAUUGCGAAGGCAGCUUACUACAUAUAAAUUGACGCUGAGGCACGAAAGCGUGGGGAUCAAACA